UUACCUUUAGCAACAAAAAAUAAAGCUUUUGAAGUGUAGCUCGUUAUGUCACGUGUUAGUCUGGCACAUGGACAUCUUGGUAUGGGAGCACAAAAUCACAUGACCUGGACCAUGACCCACCAGACUGUUCAGUGUGUGUCACUUAGGGACUUCAUGAGAUAACAUAAAGGCUAAAGCUGUAUAAGGAACUUUCCAGAACAUUUAAAGUUCAGUGACACCCGUGUCACGGUGGGUCCUUAUGGUCUAUGGUGUUCUGA
This is a long non-coding RNA of Notothenia coriiceps (black rockcod), 257 nucleotides long. RefSeq lists it as uncharacterized. NCBI's taxonomy places the organism in Eukaryota, Metazoa, Chordata, Actinopteri, Perciformes, Nototheniidae. The record is from RefSeq and is a predicted model, not a curated record. The transcript is spliced from 3 exons.